AAUGAACGCUGGCGGCAGGCCUAACACAUGCAAGUCGAACGCACCUUUCGGGGUGAGUGGCGGACGGGUGAGUAACGCGUGGGAACGUGCCCUUUGCUACGGAAUAGUCCCGGGAAACUGGGGGUAAUACCGUAUGUGCCCUUCGGGGGAAAGAUUUAUCGGCAAAGGAUCGGCCCGCGUUGGAUUAGGUAGUUGGUGGGGUAAUGGCCUACCAAGCCGACGAUCCAUAGCUGGUUUGAGAGGAUGAUCAGCCACACUGGGACUGAGACACGGCCCAGACUCCUACGGGAGGCAGCAGUGGGGAAUCUUAGACAAUGGGGGAAACCCUGAUCUAGCCAUGCCGCGUGAUCGAUGAAGGCCUUAGGGUUGUAAAGAUCUUUCAGAUGGGAAGAUAAUGACGGUACCAUCAGAAGAAGCCCCCGGCUAACUCCGUGCCAGCAGCCGCGGUAAAGUACAGUGU
This 460-nucleotide ribosomal RNA is filed under the name uncultured bacterium. RNAcentral's name for it is "bacterial SSU rRNA". It matches the Rfam family "Bacterial small subunit ribosomal RNA", at positions 29 to 532 of the family's 1533-position model. The record is from RNAcentral.